RNAcentral lists this ribosomal RNA (869 nucleotides) under uncultured organism. RNAcentral describes it as "bacterial SSU rRNA". It matches the Rfam family "Bacterial small subunit ribosomal RNA", at positions 16 to 863 of the family's 1533-position model. The record is from RNAcentral.
AUCCUGGCUCAGAACGAACGCUGGCGGCGUGCUUAACACAUGCAAGUCGGAUGCGAACGGCGCUUUCGGGCGUUGAGUAGCAUGGCAGACGGGCGAGGAGCGCGUAUCUGACUGGACUCAGGCUGGGGGAUAGUCCCUCGAAAGGGGGUUGAAUACCGCAUGUGCUCGGUGCUGUGAGGGCAUCGAGGAAAGUUGGCCUCCGCGGGCACGCUGAUGGCCUGAGACAGGGAUGCGUCCUAUUAGCUAGCUGGUGGGGUAAGGGCCUACCAGGGCGACGAUGGGUAGCUGGUCUGAGAGGAUGAUCAGCCACACUGGGACUGCGACACGGCCCAGACUCCUACGGGAGGCAGCAGUGGGGAAUUUUGCGCAAUGGGCGCAAGCCUGACGCAGCAACGCCGCGUGCAUGACGACGCCUUUCGAGGUGUAAAGUGCUGUCGACCGGGACGAAGGGGCGAGGGUGAACAGCUUUCGCGCAUGACGGUACCGGUGGAGGAAGCCCCGGCUAACUCCGUGCCAGCAGCCGCGGUAAGACGGAGGGGGCGAGCGUUGUUCGGAAUUACUGGGCGUAAAGCGCGCGUAGGCGGUGCAGCAAGUGGUGCGUGAAAGCCCUCGGCUUAACCGGGGACGGGCGUGCCAAACUGUUGGACUGGAGUGCCGGAGGGGGAGGCGGAAUUCCUGGUGGAGCGGUGAAAUGCGUAGAGAUCAGGAAGAACGUCGGUGGCGAAGGCGGCCUCCUGGACGGACACUGACGCUGAGGUGCGACAGCGUGGGGAGCGAACGGGAUUAGAUACCCCGGUAGUCCACGCCGUAAACGAUGGGUACUAGGUGUGGGGCUUGUGAUGAGGCCCGUGCCGGAGCUAACGCAGUAA